ACAUCAAAUAAAGACAUUGAAUCCAUAAUUUAUUUCAUUAAUAUCAACUAAUGCAGUAACUAGUGCAAAGUAAAAUGGAUACUAAAGAUACCUAACUAAUGUUAUAACUGCCAAAAGGAGUCAUAAAUGUAGCACAAAACAAAUGUAAUGCUUUUACAACAUAUUUGCCUUGUUACAAUGUGAAAUCAAACUAUGAAAAAGGAGUUCUGAGGGAUUCAGUUUGAAAGAGGCUAAAAAUGCAAGAGAAAUGCUUUCUAGAGAAGUGAAGAUUCUAAGUUGGUAACAGCAUAAGAACGUACAUAACACAACAUAACAACCAUUACAACCAUUAUCUUUUGUUUUCCUGCCCAUUAUAUAUAGGGUAUAACAGUAACAAGGCAUUCAAAAUCCAUUAAAUAAAGACCGUGCAUAUUAUUGUCUUGCCAACACUAGUUCUACUGGAACUUAGUUUAACUCGAGAAAGCAUUUAUAUAUGAUCAUAAACUAGUUACAGUCAGCUGUAAGAAUCUGUUACACAUAGGAGAAAAAGAUAUAGAUAUAGGGAUAAUAAUGGGCAUAUGG
RNAcentral lists this unclassified non-coding RNA (561 nucleotides) under Hevea brasiliensis (rubber tree). The record is from RNAcentral. Lineage: Eukaryota; Viridiplantae; Streptophyta; Magnoliopsida; Malpighiales; Euphorbiaceae.